Molecule: RNA transcript, 2643 nt
Organism: Brassica oleracea var. oleracea
Lineage: Eukaryota; Viridiplantae; Streptophyta; Magnoliopsida; Brassicales; Brassicaceae
Exons: 14
Source: RefSeq, a predicted model, not a curated record
GAGGUGUGCAUCGAAGACUUUGAAUUGAGGGAGAAAGGCCAUUCGGGUUAACUUUGGCAGCUUCACCAUUCUCACACUCUCCAACUCUCUCUCUCUCUCUCUCUCUCUUCUCUCGAGUCGCGUUUCUUCAGCUAGACUUGGUGACUUUAGCUCAUGGUGGGUGAGGCAAGAACGAAGCCGAACUUCAGUUUGAUCUGACUCCCAGAUCCGAGUCUUCUUCUGCGUCGUUGUUGUGUGAGCAAUUGCUCCGAUUAAUGUUAAUGGACUGCUGCUUCCAUACGGAUCAGGAUUUGCUAUUCCAGUGCUUUGCUACUUACAUUGUUCAUCCUUUUCAAGUCUCGUAAAGACUCUUCCUUUGCUUGAAGCUUGAGCUAGCUAAUUUUGAUUAAUAAUAAAAAAGGCGGUGAUGGGUGGGCUUUGCUCUAGGAGUUCCUCUGUAAAUAACGCUCCUGCUGGAACCUUUCCACAUGCUAAUGGUCAUCUUAACAAUGGCUCUGCUGGUGAUCUCAGACACAAAGAUGGUGGUGAUCCUUCUCCGGUGAGGGAGGAGGACACUGUUGUUGACAAGCCCUCAUCAGAAUCGUUUUCGUUUCCCACUCUCAACAUAUCUUCUCUCGGAACUCAUCCUCAGAAUAUUGAGGACGGUAUUCCCCGUUUAUCAAGAGACCUAUCUCAGAAAUCAAGAUCCACUAAGUCUAGGCAAGCUGCUGUGGCAAAGGUUUCCGAAGUAAGCUCACUGUUAGGCAGGGCUGGCACUAUGGGACUUGGUAAAGCUGUGGAUGUAUUGGACACACUUGGGAGUAGCAUGACGAACCUGAAUCUAAAUGCUGGUUUUUCUUCUGCCACCACCAUUAAAGGGAAUAAGAUCUCAAUCUUGUCCUUCGAAGUUGCUAACACCAUUGUUAAAGGCGCCAAUCUUAUGCAUUCUCUGUCUAAAGAUAGCAUCACACAUUUGAAAGAGGCUGUGUUGCCUUCACAAGGUGUACAAAACCUAAUCUCUAAGGAUAUGGAUGAACUCUUGAGGAUUGCUGCUGCUGAUAAAAGAGAAGAGUUGAAGAUUUUUUCUGGAGAGGUGGUGCGUUUUGGGAAUCGUUGCAAGGACCCUCAGUACCACAACCUGGAUCGCUUCUUUGACAGGUUGGGCUCUGAAUUUACUCCCCAGAAACAAUUGAAACAGGAAGCAGAAACCAUAAUGCACCAGCUGAUGACUUUUGUUCAUUUCACAGCUGACUUGUAUCAUGAACUCCAUGCGCUGGAUAGGUUUGAACAAGACUACCAACGUAAGAUCCAGGAAGAAGAGAACCCAAGCACAGUACAACGAGGUGUGGGAGAUACCCUCGCUAUCUUGAGAACUGAAUUAAAGAGUCAGAAGAAGCAUGUAAGAAACCUAAAGAAAAAAUCUCUUUGGUCUAGGAUCUUAGAAGAGGUGAUGGAGAAACUAGUGGACGUUGUCCAUUUCUUGCAUUUGGAGAUUCACGAAGCCUUUGGUGGUGCAGAUUCUGAUAAGCCUGCAAAUGACCCACCAAUCAAUCAUAAAAAGUUGGGCUCUGCAGGUCUUGCCUUACAUUACGCAAACAUCAUAACUCAAAUUGAUACUCUUGUGUCCCGGUCUAGCACUAUGCCUUCGAGCACAAGAGAUGCUUUGUACCAAGGUUUACCCCCAAGUAUAAAAUCUGCUUUACGCUCCAGAAUACAGUCCUUCCAGGUUAAGGAAGAGCUCACUGUUCCUCAAAUAAAAGCCGAAAUGGAAAAAACGUUGCAGUGGCUUGUUCCUGUUGCUACAAACACAACCAAAGCGCACCACGGGUUUGGAUGGGUUGGGGAAUGGGCAAGUUCCGGGUCAGAUGUGAACCAGAGACCAGCAGGUCAGAGCAUACUAAGGAUAGAUACACUUCACCAUGCAGAUAAAGAAAAAACUGAGGCUUACAUAUUAGACCUGGUGGUAUGGCUGCAUCAUCUGGUUACCCAAGUGAGGGCAACUACUGGUUUUGGGCUAAGAUCUCCGGUGAAGUCUCCAAUCAGAUCACCUAAUCAGAAAACAAUCCAGCUCUCGAGCGGUUCACACAACAACCCAAGUAUGGGGUCUCCGUUGCUGACGAUGGAGGAUCAAGAGAUGCUUAGAGACGUGAGCAAGAGAAGGAAAACGCCAGGAAUCAGCAAGAGCCAAGAGUUUCAGACGGUGGCUAAAGCAAGGCUGUGUAAGCAUCACAGGCUGAGCAAAAGCAGUAGUCACUCGCCGAUGAUGGGGGAGAUGAUGAAGAAUAAGAAGGAUGCAUUCGCAAUGAGAAGGCCUUCAUCUGUGCCAAUCAUUGACUUUGAGAUAGAUCGCAUGAAAGCCCUGGAUGUGAUUGAUCGCGUGGACACCAUUCGGAGCUUGUAGCUAAACAAAUGAAACAAGCAUCCUCUCUUAUUCUCCCCCCCCCCCCAAGGAAAUUGAUCUCUAUGGGGAUACCCUUAAUAGCUGAAGAUCAGAAACGGCAGAGAGGUUAGUAACUCUGUACUAGUACUACAUUUUGGUUUUGGGGUUUGUGGGUGUAAUUUGGCUUUGGUUUCCUUUGUAUUGUGGUUCUAUUUUCUUGUUGUAUUUGUGUACAUACAAUAAAUAAUAAUAAUAAUGCUAUAAAAUGUUUUCGUGAUUGCUCA